RNAcentral lists this small nuclear RNA (106 nucleotides) under Neotoma lepida (desert woodrat). Lineage: Eukaryota; Metazoa; Chordata; Mammalia; Rodentia; Cricetidae. The record is from RNAcentral.
GUGCUCACUUCAGCAGCACAUAUACUAAAAUUAAAACAACACAGAGAACACUACCUGGCCCCUGUGCAAGGAUGACAUGCACAUUUGUGAAGCAUUCAAUAUUUUU